GCGGGUGUAGUACAAUGGCAGUACAUUAGCUUCCCAAGCUAAGGACGCGAGUUCGAUUCUCGUCACCCGCU
RNAcentral lists this transfer RNA (71 nucleotides) under bacterium. RNAcentral's name for it is "tRNA-Gly". It matches the Rfam family "tRNA". From Rfam's summary of the family: Transfer RNA (tRNA) molecules are approximately 80 nucleotides in length. Their secondary structure includes four short double-helical elements and three loops (D, anti-codon, and T loops). The record is from RNAcentral.